RNAcentral lists this ribosomal RNA (484 nucleotides) under uncultured bacterium. Its description in RNAcentral is "partial 16S ribosomal RNA". It matches the Rfam family "Bacterial small subunit ribosomal RNA", at positions 30 to 507 of the family's 1533-position model. The record is from RNAcentral.
AUUGAACGCUGGCGGCAGGCCUAACACAUGCAAGUCGAGCGGUAGAGAGAAGCUUGCUUCUCUUGAGAGCGGCGGACGGGUGAGUAAUGCCUAGGAAUCUGCCUGGUAGUGGGGGAUAACGUUCGGAAACGGACGCUAAUACCGCAUACGUCCUACGGGAGAAAGCAGGGGACCUUCGGGCCUUGCGCUAUCAGAUGAGCCUAGGUCGGAUUAGCUAGUUGGUGGGGUAAUGGCUCACCAAGGCGACGAUCCGUAACUGGUCUGAGAGGAUGAUCAGUCACACUGGAACUGAGACACGGUCCAGACUCCUACGGGAGGCAGCAGUGGGGAAUAUUGGACAAUGGGCGAAAGCCUGAUCCAGCCAUGCCGCGUGUGUGAAGAAGGUCCUCGGAUUGUAAAGCACUUUAAGUUGGGAGGAAGGGCAGUAAAUUAAUACUUUGCUGUUUUGACGUUACCGACAGAAUAAGCACCGGCUAACUCUGUG